This 300-nucleotide unclassified non-coding RNA is filed under the name uncultured fungus. Its description in RNAcentral is "sequence contains 5.8S rRNA gene, ITS2". The stretch from base 1 to 67 matches the Rfam family "5.8S ribosomal RNA", at positions 84 to 154 of the family's 154-position model. Lineage: Eukaryota; Fungi. The record is from RNAcentral.
GUGAGUCAUCGAAUCUUUGAACGCAACUUGCACUCUACCUUGGUAGAGUAUGCCUGUUUGAGAAUCUAUAUAUCUAUUCAACGUUUUGUUGAGAUGUGAGCUUGUUUGUUUCAAACUUGCUUUAAACGUAUAGCUUCGGGUGCUAAAAAUGUUGAUUUUUGAACCAGAGAGAUGAAGGGCUUGCCCACUUCCUUUGGCGACGAAUGAGUUUCUAGUACUUUGGACCCAACCAUUAAGUCUUCUUCACAGAAGGCUGAACUCUAGGUCUCAAAUCAGGUAGGAGGACCCGCUGAACUUAAG